This is a long non-coding RNA of Hipposideros armiger (great roundleaf bat), 243 nucleotides long. RefSeq lists it as uncharacterized. Lineage: Eukaryota; Metazoa; Chordata; Mammalia; Chiroptera; Hipposideridae. The record is from RefSeq and is a predicted model, not a curated record. The transcript has 3 exons.
GCCACAUCAACCUCAUUAGACAGUCCAACGAUAAUUUUUCUAUUGAGAAACUGCCAUGUAAAAGAUAUGACUACCCUGAGACUGCAUUGUGUGGGGGACAGCCCAAGCGAACCACCUGGAGUGGCCAUGUCGAGAGGGAGAUGCCUCACUAGACUCUAGCUGUUCCAGCCAUUCUAGCCUAGGAACCAGAGAGCAAGAUUUUGAGGUUAAGGUGACUCAUAAACAGCUGAGCAGCCAGUCAGG